Non-coding RNA from Sinocyclocheilus anshuiensis, 72 nucleotides. Lineage: Eukaryota; Metazoa; Chordata; Actinopteri; Cypriniformes; Cyprinidae. The record is from the annotation of a RefSeq genome assembly.
GGGGGUAUAGCUCAGUGGUGGAGCAUUUGACUCCAGAUCAAGCGGUCCCCCGUUCAAAUCUGGGUGCCCUCU